CCUACGGGGGGCAGCAGUGGGGGAUAUUGCACAAUGGGGGAAACCCUGAUGCAGCGACGCCGCGUGAGUGAAGAAGUAUUUCGGUAUGUAAAGCUCUAUCAGCAGGGAAGAAAAUGACAGUACCUGACUAAGAAGCCCCGGCUAACUACGUGCCAGCAGCCGCGGUAAUACGUAGGGGGCAAGCGUUAUCCGGAUUUACUGGGUGUAAAGGGAGCGUAGACGGUUAUGUAAGUCUGCAGUGAAAGCCCGGGGCCCAACCACGGGACUGCUUUGGAAACUGUGUAACUGGAGUGCAGGAGGGGCAGGCGGAAUUCCUGGUGUAGCGGUGAAAUGCGUAGAUAUCAGGAGGAACACCGGCGGCGAAGGCGGCCUGCUGGACUGAAACUGACGUUGAGGCUCGAAAGCGUGGGGAGCAAACAGGAUUAGAUACCCUGGUAGUC
This 440-nucleotide ribosomal RNA is filed under the name uncultured bacterium. RNAcentral describes it as "partial 16S ribosomal RNA". It matches the Rfam family "Bacterial small subunit ribosomal RNA", at positions 338 to 795 of the family's 1533-position model. The record is from RNAcentral.